AGCGAACGCUGGCGGCAGGCCUAACACAUGCAAGUCGAACGGCAGCACAGUAAGAGCUUGCUCUUACGGGUGGCGAGUGGCGGACGGGUGAGGAAUACAUCGGAAUCUACUUUUUCGUGGGGGAUAACGUAGGGAAACUUACGCUAAUACCGCAUACGACCUACGGGUGAAAGCAGGGGAUCUUCGGACCUUGCGCGAUUGAAUGAGCCGAUGUCGAAUUAGCUAGUUGGCGGGGUAAAGGCCCACCACGGCGACGAUCCGUAGCGGGUCUGAGAGGAUGAUCAGCCACACUGGAACUGAGACACGGUCCAGACUCCUACGGGAGGCAGCAGUGGGGAAUAUUGGACAAUGGGCGAAAGCCUGAUCCAGCCAUACCGCGUGGGUGAAGAAGGACUUCGGGUGGUAAAGCCCUUUUGUUGGGAAAGAAGAGCAGCAGGUUAAAACGCCGCUGUACUGACGGUACCCAAAGAAUAAGCACCGGCUAACUUCGUG
RNAcentral lists this ribosomal RNA (492 nucleotides) under uncultured bacterium. RNAcentral's name for it is "partial 16S ribosomal RNA". It matches the Rfam family "Bacterial small subunit ribosomal RNA", at positions 29 to 507 of the family's 1533-position model. The record is from RNAcentral.